RNAcentral lists this long non-coding RNA (379 nucleotides) under Gossypium barbadense (sea-island cotton). RNAcentral describes it as "long non-coding RNA (GBAR_LNC012346)". Lineage: Eukaryota; Viridiplantae; Streptophyta; Magnoliopsida; Malvales; Malvaceae. The record is from RNAcentral.
AAAGUGGUUGAACUUUUAAUUUCAAAGAUGUGUGUCAAUUCACAUAGCUGCCUCAAGGACCAAGAAAAAAAUGACAUUAUAAUUAGACAUGUUAACCCACCUCUGGUCUCUUUUGCUUGCACAUGGUUUUCAAGGUGGAAAUCGAUUCAUAAGCCCUGUUCUCGUUGGACUCAUCAUUUGUAAUUGGAACUGAAUAAAAAUAUUUUCAGCCAUUAAUCAAAAGCUUUGGGUUUUUCAGGGUAAAGGACAUGAAAACAAAGAGCUGCAAACCUUGUUUUGAGGGCUUUGUGACAUAGAGAAGAAUAACUGUGUCAUGGCACUGAACAGUGUGAGAGAGUGCCCAUUGUAAAGCUCCCCUGGCUUCAAUGCUGGAAUCAAC